AAAUUGAAGAGUUUGAUCAUGGCUCAGAUUGAACGCUGGCGGCAGGCCUAACACAUGCAAGUCGAACGGUAGCACAGAGGAGCUUGCUCCUUGGGUGACGAGUGGCGGACGGGUGAGUAAUGUCUGGGAAACUGCCCGAUGGAGGGGGAUAACUACUGGAAACGGUAGCUAAUACCGCAUAACGUCGCAAGACCAAAGAGGGGGACCUUCGGGCCUCUUGCCAUCGGAUGUGCCCAGAUGGGAUUAGCUAGUAGGUGGGGUAACGGCUCACCUAGGCGACGAUCCCUAGCUGGUCUGAGAGGAUGACCAGCCACACUGGAACUGAGACACGGUCCAGACUCCUACGGGAGGCAGCAGUGGGGAAUAUUGCACAAUGGGCGCAAGCCUGAUGCAGCCAUGCCGCGUGUAUGAAGAAGGCCUUCGGGUUGUAAA
RNAcentral lists this ribosomal RNA (432 nucleotides) under Citrobacter freundii. RNAcentral's name for it is "bacterial SSU rRNA". It matches the Rfam family "Bacterial small subunit ribosomal RNA", at positions 1 to 429 of the family's 1533-position model. The record is from RNAcentral. Lineage: Bacteria; Pseudomonadati; Pseudomonadota; Gammaproteobacteria; Enterobacterales; Enterobacteriaceae.